AUGCUGCUAAUGAACUAACCUGAUGAUAAGAUUGACAAAAAAGAAUGUAUACAUUGAUAAAAAAAAAAGGUUAGAGUUGUCCUGCAUGCUCAUCGCAGUUCCUUCUGCCUUUUUAGCAGCUAGAAGAACACAUUUUUUAUCGACAUUAGGCUGGAAAGAUUGCUCCAUUUGCAUGCUAACCUUCGUGAGUGACGGUGUUGUAGGCGAGAAGACGAGUGGCCAGCCUUUGGUGUUUGAGCACAGCAGAAGGUUGUUUCCAAGAAGACUUGUGAUGUUAAUCUUGCAAUUAAUAAGGAACAGAGAAGAAGAAGGCCAUGAUUGAUCCAGCUAGGUGAUGAGAGGUCUUCUUGCCCAGGGAAAGAUCGAUGAAGGCAAGAAAAGAUGGAGAGCAGUACUACUAGCUAGAGACAAGCAAGAACAGCAAAUGGAGCUUAGCAGAGAAACAUAAACGAUGAUAGAUGCACUAAUGCCCGCAGCAGUAGUACACAAUAGCUGGUAUUUAAGAUUGGAUGAGAGGAGUAGCUAGGACUAGCAAGCGAAAGGAGGAGGAGGAGGAGGUGACCCACAAAUAAGGCCAAAAGCAGAGGAAAGCAAAUGCAGGCUGCAGGAAGAUACGACCAGUUAAAACGAUAAUAAAAAGCAGAGCAGGGGAGCAGAGAAAGGAAAGCUGAAUGGAGCUAAGCAGUGGCAUCUAUCAAGUGUGUCCUUGUGUUCGUGCUGCCGCUGCCAAUUCCUCCAUUAAAAGAAGAGAGAAAGAUGCAUGAGCGGCUUGCAAUGCAACAAAGAGUGGUCAGUAGUAAUGGGCGCAAUGAUAGAGAUUAAGAGAUAUUUGGAGGUUAAUUUAAGUGGCGAUCGACACUGCUCCAAUAUGGAGGAGAGUGACCGUUACCAAAUCUCAGUAAUGAGUCAUGAUUCCUUUCUCUUUC
Molecule: long non-coding RNA, 926 nt
Organism: Brachypodium distachyon (stiff brome)
Lineage: Eukaryota; Viridiplantae; Streptophyta; Magnoliopsida; Poales; Poaceae
Exons: 2
Source: RefSeq, a predicted model, not a curated record